Long non-coding RNA from Pteropus alecto (black flying fox), 2136 nucleotides. RefSeq lists it as uncharacterized. Lineage: Eukaryota; Metazoa; Chordata; Mammalia; Chiroptera; Pteropodidae. The transcript has 9 exons. The record is from RefSeq and is a predicted model, not a curated record.
AGCGAUUGGCUGGUGAUGAAACCUUUGGGUUUGAAGCUGAGCAGUUGCUUUGCGCCCCGCAGUGCGGACCCCUCAGGGCUGACUGAGGGGUUCCAAGCUCGUGUUAUCCAGGCCGAGGUUUAUUGGUACAGUGCCUUGGAGAUAAGGGCUUCGCCUCUGGAAAAAGCUCGAGAUUCGGUGCUGAUAUUUGUGUUCUUAAAAAAAAAAAAAAAGAAAUGACUGACAGGAUGACGAGCAAACAAGAUGCAAGUUCAUAGUCCUUGGGUUACAUCGCACACAGGGUUGAAGCUCAAUUAAGUCCCAAAAUGUUAUCUUCAAGCAGUUAACUGAACUUCCUCCAUGUACCAGACACCAUCCUUCUUUCUGAAGCUGAAAAAGGUGAUGGCUGAACUGACACAUCAAGAACCAGUCAAACCUAACAGCGGCUGACGGCUAGCUACAUCCCCCACCCCCUUGUCCUCACCCACCCCACCCUUUGCUAUUAGAACUGCACAACAUGCCUGAGGCUCAGAAGAAGCCAUCGGUCACCUACGUGGGAUAGGAGUGCGGACAGAUUCUGUGGUUGAGAAAUUCAGACAGGACACAGCUGUGACAUUGUCUCUGCUCCAUGAUGUCUGGGCUUCAGCUGAGAAGACUAAAAGCUGGGCUGACCUGACUGCAGGGGCUGGAAUCAUCUGGAAGUAUUUCACUCACAUGUCUGGGGGGUGAUUCUAGACGAUGACCGGGAACUCUCCAGCAGUGGCUGCUCCAUGUGGUCUCUCCGUAGAGACUAGCUGGGGAUUCUCACAGCAUGGCAACUGGAUUCCAGAAGGAUUCAGUGGCUUCCAGCAUGGGAGGUAGUAGAGUCACAAUACGGAAGGAGCCUGGGUCCCUGAAUGACUGCUGACGUGAGUCAUUCCUCUUGUGCCCUCUGCACCAAGGACAUCGAGGAGAGCCACUGAGCAGCUGUCAGGCAACUUCAAGUCAACUCCUGGGCUUCAAAUUUAUUGGGCCUGUGUGGAGGAUUAAAUGAGAUCUGUAUAUAAAGUACCUGACACUGCGUGAACACCCAAUAAACACUAGCUGUUACGAAAGCCGGUCUCCUGGGAAACACAUGGAGUUACACAUUUUAAUGAGGCCAGCUGCCAUUUGGAAGAACCCACAUGAUAAGGAACUGAGUCUGUGGUCAACAGCCAUCGGAGAACUGCGGCUCGCAGUCCAAGAGCCCAUGAGGAGCUGAAUCUGGCCAACAACCACUGAUUGCGCUUACGAGCAGGUUCUUCCCCACUCCAGCCUUCAGCAAGUCCAGGAGUGAGGUGUUUAAGGUCAAAGUGUCCUUGUCACGUGUGUUUACCUGUUUACCCACCAUUGGAGAGUUUCCUGCCAGGACCCCUUCUCUGGGGGAAGGGUGGGACCAGAGGCCCUCAGCGUACAUAAGUCCUGGUGCUUCAGGAAAGUCCUCUGUAUCCUCCCUCCAGUCCUACCUUUGGGCCUCACAGAAUCUCCAUAGUGGUCUUUCUUCACUUAAGCAUCGUUUUAGCUUGCGAAGCAGAGGCAGCAAGCCAGUUACUCCCUGGGGUCUGAAACGUCAGCCUGGGAAGGAGACUCUGAAUCCCCGCACUCCUGUCCAGACACAGGAAAGUUAUGAAUGCGGAAACACACGUCUGGACCCAGUUCAUCAGCUGAGGUGCAAAAAUGUCUGAAUAGUUGAAGCCAUGAGAUCAACUCUUUUUGAAAGAGGGAACUUGAGAUACAUAUAUGCAGUGCAUAGGGCACCAAGCAACCCACUUCACUCCAGUCUUCAGUUUCUCCAUCUGAUGUGGGGGUUUACCUCCAGGUCUCAGAGUCUUGGAUUCUCAGUUUGGCACAAUCUGGUUACUGAGAGCUGGCUUUCUGGGUCCUAAAUCAACUGCUAAACGAGAAUAACAGAAAUACCUGGCCCCUAAGAGGUUCGUGGGAUUAAAUUAAAUAAAUAUGAACUCUGGGCACAGAGCGCGCACAAAGAGUGAAUCUGAUCAUUAUCACUUCUUCAAGGGGUUCCUGGUACUCUGGGGAAUUGGGGCUCGUGAAGAGCGGACCGCAGCCCGCACCGGCCCGGUGGCCUGCCCCGCCCACCUGGGGCCGCAGCCCGUCGAAUGACUCCGUGCAACGUGUUGG